RNAcentral lists this ribosomal RNA (933 nucleotides) under Niphargus fontanus. Its description in RNAcentral is "partial 16S ribosomal RNA". Lineage: Eukaryota; Metazoa; Arthropoda; Malacostraca; Amphipoda; Niphargidae. The record is from RNAcentral.
GUUAAAGAAAUAUAUUAAUAUACCUUUUGUAUCAGGGUAGUUUAAAUAUAUUAAAUAAAUAAAAAUCUCGAAUCAAUAAUGAGCUAAGUAGAUUAUUUUUGUUAUAUUAAAUAAUUAAUUAUAUUGGUGAUGAAAUGUUAUCGUAUUUUGGGUUAUCUAGUUACUUAAAUAAUUUAAUUUAUAAUUAGUUAUUAACUAAUUUAAUAGGAAAGUUAAUUUUUUUAUUUUUUUAAACUGAGUGUUUGUUUUUAUUAAUUAGGUUUAAUAUUAAUCAUAUUUAUAUAUUGUUUUAAAUAAUUUAUUAUUUAAAUGUUUAAUGUUAUAUUUAUUUAGUUAUUUGAAUUAUUAUUUAUUUUUUAAAAAUAAUGAAUUAAUUAGUAUUAGGUUUAUAAGUUAUAUUUAACUCGUAGUUUAUUUGAUAGUUUAACAAAAACAUUUUUUUUAGUUAAUAAAAAGUAAGGCCUGCCCAGUGAUUUUAAACGGCUGCAGUAAUUUAACUGUACUAAGGUAGCAUAAUCAUUUGUUUUUUAAUUGAAAACUGGUAUGAAUGGUCUUACAAAUAAUUGUUUGUAAUAUAAUUAUAUAGUAAUUUUUAUUUUAAAUAAAAAUAUUUAAAUAUAAUAAAGGGACGAUAAGACCCUAAAAGCUUUUUUAGUUAUAUAAUUUAUAUAAAUUAAAUAAAUAAAUUUAGUUGGGGUAACAUAAAUAUAAAUUUUAUUUUAAGAUUUAACAAAUAUAAAUGAUUAUUUGAUCUUUUAUAUAAAGAUAAAUAGAGAUAGUUACUUUAGGGGAUAACAGCGUAAUAGUUUUAGAAAGGCCAUAUUAAUAAAAUUGAUUACGACCUCGAUGUUGAAUUAAAAUAUCUAUAGAUUGUAGCAGGUUUAUUAGAAGGUUUGUUCAACCUUUUAUUUUUUACAUGAUUUGAGUUCAAAU